UCGAACGGAACUGUUUUGAAAGAUUUCUUCGGAAUGAAUUUGAUUUAGUUUAGUGGCGGACGGGUGAGUAACGCGUGAGUAACCUGCCUUCAAGAGGGGGAUAACAUUCUGAAAAGAAUGCUAAUACCGCAUGACAUAUCGGAAUCACAUGGUUUUGAUAUCAAAGAUUUUAUCGCUUGAAGAUGGACUCGCGUCCGAUUAGUUAGUUGGUGAGGUAACGGCUCACCAAGACCGCGAUCGGUAGCCGGACUGAGAGGUUGAACGGCCACAUUGGGACUGAGACACGGCCCAGACUCCUACGGGAGGCAGCAGUGGGGGAUAUUGCGCAAUGGGGGCAACCCUGACGCAGCAACGCCGCGUGAAGGAUGAAGGUUUUCGGAUUGUAAACUUCUUUUAUUAAGGACGAAACUUGACGGUACUUAAUGAAUAAGCUCCGGCUAACUACGUGCCAGCAGCCGCGGUAAUACGUAGGGAGCAAGCGUUGUCCGGAUUUACUGGGUGUAAAGGGUGCGUAGGCGGCUUUGCAAGUCAGAUGUGAAAUCUAUGGGCUCAACCCAUAAACUGCAUUUGAAACUGUAGAGCUUGAGUGAAGUAGAGGCAGGCGGAAUUCCCCGUGUAGCGGUGAAAUGCGUAGAGAUGGGGAGGAACACCAGUGGCGAAGGCGGCCUGCUGGGCUUUAACUGACGCUGAGGCACGAAAGCGUGGGUAGCAAACAGGAUUAGAUACCCUG
Molecule: ribosomal RNA, 730 nt
Filed under: uncultured bacterium
Lineage: Bacteria
Description: bacterial SSU rRNA
Rfam family: Bacterial small subunit ribosomal RNA
Source: RNAcentral